AUGCGCGAUGCCGGGCACUCGCGGUACCGCCGGCGGGCCGGCCUGCCGAUGCUCUCCCUUCUGCUCGCGCUCGCGCUGUUCGCCGGGGGUGCCAGCGGGCAGCCGCCGGUGCCGCCGGAGAUGAGGGGCGUGCAGGCGCAGCUCACGGGGCUCACCAACGACGUCGCCCACACCAUCUCCGACCGCUUCAGCUUCUGCGUCUCCGACACGCAGGAGGACUGGAACGGGGCCUUCAACUACUCCUCCGACCUCGGCUUCGUGCAGCGCUGCCUCGCCGACACCAGAGGUGACAUGCCGCAGCGCUUAUGCACGCCGGCAGAAGCGAAGUUCUACUUCACAAGCCUGUACAACCCGAAAGGCGAGAAAAACCUCUUCCUGGAGACCAACAUAAACUGCGGCAUCUCCGCUUGGUCGCCGGGUUGUGAGCCGGGGUGGGCUUGCUCUGUUGGUCCGAUCCCUGCCGCCAACGACAACGAGACCAUCCCACUGAGAGCCACCAACUGCCAGGCGUGCUGCGAGGGCUUCUUCUGUCCCCGUGGUCUCACCUGCAUGCUCCCUUGUCCAUUGGGAUCGUACUGUCCGCGUGCCAGAGGGAACUCAACCACUGGUCUUUGUGAUCCGUACAAGUACCAGAUAACUCCAAACUCGACCAAUGGCUGCGGUGGCGCCGACAAAUGGGCUGAUUUUGGGAGCACUGAAGAAAUCUUCUGUCCUGCUGGUUACCACUGCCCAAGCACAACAUCCAAAUUGUCCUGUACCAGCGGGCAUUAUUGCAAAUUGGGUUCCACCAGAGAAGAGAAAUGCGUCAUUAAAGGCUCAUGUAAGGAAAACGAAACGAAUGAAAACAUCAUCAUUUUGGGCGCUUGUUUAGUGGGUAUAAUAGGCGUGUCGCUCUUGGUCGUGUACAACUGCUCAGGUCAGUUCCUCACUAUUCGUGAACGAAGGAAAGCGAGGUCGAGGGAGAACGCGAUUCAGCUUGCUCGGCAGCAGCUCAGGGCUCACCAGGGAUGGAAGGCAGCCAAACAGAUCGCGAGGAAACAUGUGACCGGCGUGCAGGACCAUCUGUCACGCACAUUUUCACGCAGGAGAUCCUUUCGUCAGCAGACAGAUCUCGAGAAUUCUAGCCACAGGGUGCAGGAAGCGCGCCUGAUGGGUUCGACCGGGCCAAAUGAAAGGUCAGACUCCAUAGUGUUUUCAGCUCAGAACACAAGCGAGAUAUCCGAAGUCAUGCCUUCGGUUGUCAUGGACAUAAGCAACGAUGGAGAAGUAGUUGCUACCAAUGACAAGCCGGCACCCAAAGGCAAGCACAGAUCAACUCAAACUCAAAUAUUCAAGUAUGCGUAUGGCGAGAUAGAGUUGGAGAAGGCGAGGCAGGAAGAGAACAAGAACAUGUCCUUCACCGGAGUGCUUGCCAAGGUGAAGGAGCUACAAAAGGAGAUGACCAGGCCUUUGCUCAAGGUUGAGUUCAAGAACCUGACCCUGUCACUUGGAAAAAGGAAGCUGCUGAGGUCUGUCACAGGCGAGCUCCAGCCAGGCCGUGUCACCGCCGUCAUGGGCCCCUCUGGAGCCGGCAAGACGACGUUCCUUAAUGCUGUGGCCGGGAAGGUGACCGGUUAUCAAGUGACCGGUUCUGUCCUUGUUAAUGGAGCGCAAGGAAGUAUACGUUCUUACAAGAAGAUCAUUGGCUUUGUGCCUCAGGACGACGUCGUUCAUGGGAACUUGACUGUCGAGGAGAACCUUUGGUUCAGCGCAAAUUGCAGGCUCCCUGCGAGAAUGUCACACCGUGAUAGGGUUCUCAUUGUGGAGAGGGUUAUAGAGUCCCUGGACCUCCAGGGGGUCAGGAAUUCGGUGGUUGGGACGGUGGAGAAGCGUGGAAUCUCUGGCGGGCAGAGGAAGCGUGUCAAUGUGGGGAUUGAGAUGGUGAUGGAGCCAUCUCUGCUGAUCCUGGAUGAACCAACCUCUGGCCUGGACAGUUCCUCGUCGCAACUGCUCCUCAAAGCUCUUCGUCACGAGGCACUUGAAGGGGUGAACAUUUGCGCCGUUGUUCACCAACCGAGCUACACAUUGUACAACAUGUUUGAUGACCUGAUACUUCUGGCAAAAGGAGGCCUUAUCGUUUACAAUGGUCCCAUCAAGACCAUUGAGGACUACUUCUCCACUCUUGGGAUUCAUGUCCCCGACCGUGUAAACCCGCCAGACCAUUACAUUGACAUUCUUGAAGGCAUUGUGAAGCCCGAGUCAGGCAUUAAGGCGAAGCAUUUGCCGGUGCACUGGAUGCUGUACAAUGGCUACGAAGUGCCAAGUGACAUGAAAGAUGAUCUCAAGGCAAUGGGCGAGCAGAGCCCGGACGUUGAUAUCAAUCGUUCAAUGUCUGGAUCAACCCCUCAUUGCCUCCCUGCAGGCGUAACUAACGCUUUUGCACAAGAACGCAACCGUCUUGAGCACCGUCUGUCGAAACCUGGUGAUCUGUCCAGCAGAAGAACACCAGGAAUCCUAAAGCAAUACAAGUUCUUCCUCGGAAGAGUUACGAAACAGCGGCUGCGUGAAGGCAGACUGCUUGGGGUUGAUUUCCUGAUACUAGGUCUAGCUGGGAUCUGCUUGGGGACAAUUGCAAAACUCAGUGACCCGACAUUUGGGAUGCCUGGCUAUAUUUACACUAUCAUUGCCGUGUCUCUUCUGUGCAAGAUUGCGGCAUUAAGAUCAUUUUCACUUGAGCGGUUGCAGUACCUGAGGGAAAGAGAAUCUGGGAUGAGCACACUGGCAUACUUUCUUGCCAGGGAUACCAUCGAUCAUUUCAACACGGCUUUAAAGCCAAUCAUUUACCUCUCCAUGUUUUACUACUUCAACAACCCGAGAUCAUCAAUUGGCAGUAAUUACGUCAUACUCCUCUCACUUGUGUAUUGUGUGACCGGGAUAGGAUACACUUUCGCCAUCUGUUUCAAUCCCGGCUCGGCGCAGCUGUGCUCUGCGCUGAUACCUGUUGUUCUGACCUUGUUAUCCACUCAAAGGACCACCCCUACAUUUCUGAAGAAUAUGAGCUAUCCAAAGUGGGCACUAGAGGGCUUCAUAAUUGCAAACGCAAAAAGGUAUCCUGGAGUUUGGCUAAUAACUCGCUGCGGCUUGCUGUUCAGGAGCGGUUUCAAUAUUCACAACUACCAACUCUGUAUUGUGGUUCUGUUCAUGUAUGGUCUCUUCUUCAGGAUUGUUGCAUUUGUGGCAAUGGUUCUGCUGAAGAAGAGAUGA
Molecule: ribosomal RNA, 3243 nt
Filed under: Triticum aestivum (bread wheat)
Lineage: Eukaryota; Viridiplantae; Streptophyta; Magnoliopsida; Poales; Poaceae
Description: partial small subunit ribosomal RNA
Source: RNAcentral